UACGUAGGGCGCAAGCGUUGUCCGGAAUUAUUGGGCGUAAAGAGCUCGUAGGCGGUUUGUCGCGUCUGCUGUGAAAACCUGAGGCUCAACCUCGGGCUUGCAGUGGGGUACGGGCAGACUAGAGUGCGAUAGGGGUGACUGGAAUUCCUGGUGUAGCGGUGGAAUGCGCAGAUAUCAGGAGGAACACCGAGUGGCGAAGGCAGGUCACUGGGCCGCAACUGACGCUGGAGGCGACGAAAGCUAGGGGGAGC
Molecule: ribosomal RNA, 251 nt
Filed under: uncultured bacterium
Lineage: Bacteria
Description: partial 16S ribosomal RNA
Rfam family: Bacterial small subunit ribosomal RNA
Source: RNAcentral